Molecule: transfer RNA, 76 nt
Filed under: Deltaproteobacteria bacterium
Lineage: Bacteria; Pseudomonadati; Myxococcota; Myxococcia
Also listed under: 1 other name
Description: tRNA-Ile
Rfam family: tRNA
About the family: Transfer RNA (tRNA) molecules are approximately 80 nucleotides in length.
Source: RNAcentral
GGGCCCAUAGCUCAGUUGGAAGAGCCACCGGCUCAUAACCGGUCGGUCCCUGGUUCGAAUCCAGGUGGGCCCACCA